This 223-nucleotide ribosomal RNA is filed under the name Escherichia coli. RNAcentral describes it as "partial 23S ribosomal RNA". It matches the Rfam family "Bacterial large subunit ribosomal RNA", at positions 154 to 415 of the family's 2925-position model. The record is from RNAcentral. Lineage: Bacteria; Pseudomonadati; Pseudomonadota; Gammaproteobacteria; Enterobacterales; Enterobacteriaceae.
UUAACUGAAUCCAUAGGUUAAUGAGGCGAACCGGGGGAACUGAAACAUCUAAGUACCCCGAGGAAAAGAAAUCAACCGAGAUUCCCCCAGUAGCGGCGAGCGAACGGGGAGCAGCCCAGAGCCUGAAUCAGUGUGUGUGUUAGUGGAAGCGUCUGGAAAGGCGCGCGAUACAGGGUGACAGCCCCGUACACAAAAAUGCACAUGCUGUGAGCUCGAUGAGUAG